RNAcentral lists this ribosomal RNA (478 nucleotides) under uncultured bacterium. RNAcentral describes it as "partial 16S ribosomal RNA". It matches the Rfam family "Bacterial small subunit ribosomal RNA", at positions 28 to 523 of the family's 1533-position model. The record is from RNAcentral.
GACGAACGCUGGCGGCGUGCUUAACACAUGCAAGUCGAACGGUAAGGCCCUUCGGGGUACACGAGUGGCGAACGGGUGAGUAACACGUGGGUGAUCUGCCCUGCACUUCGGGAUAAGCCUGGGAAACUGGGUCUAAUACCGGAUAGGACCACUGCCUGCAUGGGGGGUGGUGGAAAGCUUUUGCGGUGUGGGAUGGGCCCGCGGCCUAUCAGCUUGUUGGUGGGGUGAUGGCCUACCAAGGCGACGACGGGUAGCCGGCCUGAGAGGGGGACCGGACACACUGGGACUGAGAUACGGCCCAGACUCCUACGGGAGGCAGCAGUGGGGAAUAUUGCACAAUGGGCGCAAGCCUGAUGCAGCGACGCCGCGUGAGGGAUGACGGCCUUCGGGUUGUAAACCUCUUUCAGCACCGACGAAGCGCAAGUGACGGUAGGUGCAGAAGAAGGACCGGCCAACUACGUGCCAGCCGCCGCCGUAA